GUCGAGCGGCGGACGGGUGAGUAAUGCCUAGGAAAUUGCCCUGAUGUGGGGGAUAACCAUUGGAAACGAUGGCUAAUACCGCAUAAUGCCUACGGGCCAAAGAGGGGGACCUUCGGGCCUCUCGCGUCAGGAUAUGCCUAGGUGGGAUUAGCUAGUUGGUGAGGUAAGGGCUCACCAAGGCGACGAUCCCUAGCUGGUCUGAGAGGAUGAUCAGCCACACUGGAACUGAGACACGGUCCAGACUCCUACGGGAGGCAGCAGUGGGGAAUAUUGCACAAUGGGCGCAAGCCUGAUGCAGCCAUGCCGCGUGUGUGAAGAAGGCCUUCGGGUUGUAAAGCACUUUCAGUCGUGAGGAAGGUAGUGUAGUUAAUAGCUGCAUUAUUUGACGUUAGCGACAGAAGAAGCACCGGCUAACUCCGUGCCAGCAGCCGCGGUAAUACGGAGGGUGCGAGCGUUAAUCGGAAUUACUGGGCGUAAAGCGCAUGCAGGUGGUUUGUUAAGUCAGAUGUGAAAGCCCGGGGCUCAACCUCGGAAUUGCAUUUGAAACUGGCAGACUAGAGUACUGUAGAGGGGGGUAGAAUUUCAGGUGUAGCGGUGAAAUGCGUAGAGAUCUGAAGGAAUACCGGUGGCGAAGGCGGCCCCCUGGACAGAUACUGACACUCAGAUGCGAAAGCGUGGGGAGCAAACAGGAUUAGAUACCCUGGUAGUCCACGCCGUAAACGAUGUCUACUUGGAGGUUGUGGCCUUGAGCCGUGGCUUUCGGAGCUAACGCGUUAAGUAGACCGCCUGGGGAGUACGGUCGCAAGAUUAAAACUCAAAUGAAUUGACGGGGGCCCGCACAAGCGGUGGAGCAUGUGGUUUAAUUCGAUGCAACGCGAAGAACCUUACCUACUCUUGACAUCCAGAGAACUUUCCAGAGAUGGAUUGGUGCCUUCGGGAACUCUGAGACAG
RNAcentral lists this ribosomal RNA (951 nucleotides) under Vibrio campbellii. RNAcentral describes it as "bacterial SSU rRNA". It matches the Rfam family "Bacterial small subunit ribosomal RNA", at positions 90 to 1037 of the family's 1533-position model. The record is from RNAcentral. Lineage: Bacteria; Pseudomonadati; Pseudomonadota; Gammaproteobacteria; Vibrionales; Vibrionaceae.